GCUGGCAUAGCUCAGUUGGUAGAGCAGCUGAUUUGUAAUCAGCAGGUCGCCGGUUCGAGUCCGGCCGCCAGCUCCA
RNAcentral lists this transfer RNA (76 nucleotides) under Acidobacteriota bacterium. Its description in RNAcentral is "Acidobacteria bacterium tRNA-Thr". It matches the Rfam family "tRNA". Rfam says of the family: Transfer RNA (tRNA) molecules are approximately 80 nucleotides in length. RNAcentral also lists the same sequence under 2 other names. Lineage: Bacteria; Pseudomonadati; Acidobacteriota. The record is from RNAcentral.